AGCAGCCGCGGUAAUUCCAGCUCCAAUAGCGUAUAUUAAAGUUGUUGCAGUUAAAAAGCUCGUAGUUGAACUUCAGGCCUGGUCGGGCGGUCUGCCUCACGGUAUGUACUGUCUGACCGGGUCUUACCUCUUGGUGAGCCGGCAUGCUCUUUACUGGGUGUGUCGGGGAACCAGGACUUUUACUUUGAGAAAAUUAGAGUGUUCAAAGCAGGCCUAUGCCCGAAUACAUUAGCAUGGAAUAAUAAAAUAGGACGUGCGGUUCUAUUUUGUUGGUUUUUAGGGUCGCCGUAAUGAUUAAUAGGGAUAGUUGGGGGCAUUAGUAUUCAGUUGCUAGAGGUGAAAUUCUUGGAUUUACUGAAGACUAACUUCUGCGAAAGCAUUUGCCAGGGAUGUUUUCAUUAAUCAAGAACGAAGGUUAGGGGAUCGAAAACGAUCAGAUACCGUUGUAGUCUUAACAGUAAACUAUGCCGA
This 471-nucleotide ribosomal RNA is filed under the name uncultured Basidiomycota. RNAcentral describes it as "SSU rRNA". It matches the Rfam family "Eukaryotic small subunit ribosomal RNA", at positions 569 to 1045 of the family's 1831-position model. The record is from RNAcentral. Lineage: Eukaryota; Fungi; Basidiomycota.